CCCAUAGGGGUGCCGAUAUGGUGCUAGUAAUGAGCGUCUAAGGCUGAGAACAGACCCUUAAAACUUGAUCCGGAUAAUGCCGGCGAAAGGAAUGAA
This 96-nucleotide non-coding RNA is filed under the name bovine gut metagenome. RNAcentral describes it as "TPP riboswitch (THI element)". It matches the Rfam family "TPP riboswitch aptamer (THI element)", at positions 8 to 91 of the family's 105-position model. Rfam says of the family: Vitamin B(1) in its active form thiamin pyrophosphate (TPP) is an essential coenzyme that is synthesised by coupling of pyrimidine and thiazole moieties in bacteria. The previously detected thiamin-regulatory element, thi box was extended, resulting in a new, highly conserved RNA secondary structure, the THI element, which is widely distributed in eubacteria and also occurs in some archaea. Analysis of operon structures identified a large number of new candidate thiamin-regulated genes, mostly transporters, in various prokaryotic organisms. The record is from RNAcentral.